UUACGAUCGGUAGGGGAGCAUUCUCACAGGGGUGAAGGUUUGGCGUAAGCUGGGCUGGACUGGUGAGAAAAGCAAAUGUAGGCAUAAGUAACGAUAAUGCGGAUGAGAAAUCCGCACACCGAAAGACUAAGGAUUCCUCCGCUAUGCUAAUCAACGGAGGGUUAGGCGGGGCCUAAGGUAUAGCCGACAGGCGAGUACCGAUGGACAGCAGGUUAAUAUUCCUGCCCUUGCAGUCAGUGUGAAGAAAUGACGGAGUAUUGUGGUGUGUACGUACUGACGGAAUAGUGCGUUGAGCGGAGCCUACGGGCGAAGCGAAUACACGAAAACGCUUCCAAGAAAAGUUUCUGAAACAUCAGCUGAUUGCAGCCCGUACCGUAAACCGACACAGGUAGUCGAGAAGAAUAUUCUAAGGUGCUCGAGUGAAUCACGGCUAAGGAACUCGGCAAAUUAACCCUGUAACUUCGGGAGAAGGGGAGCCUCCUCUGCAAAGAGAGGCCGCAGAGAAAUGGCCCAGGCGACUGUUUAGCAAAAACACAGGGCUCUGCCAAAACGAAAGUUGACGUAUAGGGCCUGACACCUGCCCGGUGCUGGAAGGUUAAGAGGGGAUGUCAUCGCAAGAGAAGCAUUGAAUCGAAGCCCCAGUAAACGGCGGCCGUAACUAUAACGGUCCUAAGGUAGCGAAAUUCCUUGUCGGGUAAGUUCCGACCUGCACGAAUGGUGUAACGAUCUGGGCACUGUCUCGGCCGUGAGCUCGGUGAAAUUGUAGUAGCGGUGAAGAUGCCGCUUACCCGCCACGGGACGGAAAGACCCCGUGCACCUUUACUAUAGCUUUGCAUUGUUUUUCGGGUCAGGGAUGUGUAGGAUAGGUGGGAGGCUGUGAGCCGGUGUCGCCAGGCAUCGGGGAGCCAACGUUGAAAUACCACCCUUCGCUGGCCUGGGAUCUAACUGCUCUAUGAGCAGGACCGUGCAUGGUGGGUAGUUUGACUGGGGUGGUCGCCUCCAAAAGUGUAACGGAGGCUUCCAAAGGUCUGCUCAACACGCUUGGUAACCGUGUGUGGAGUGCAAUAGUACAAGCAGGCUUGACUGCGAGACCGACGGGUCGAGCAGGUGGGAAACCAGGGUAUAGUGAUCCGGUGGUUCUGUAUGGAAGGGCCAUCGCUCAAAGGAUAAAAGGUACGCCGGAUAACAGGCUGAUCUCCCCCAAGAGCUCACAUCGACGGGGAGGUUUGGCACCUCGAUGUCGGCUCGUCACAUCCUGGGGCUGGAGAAGGUCCCAAGGGUUCGGCUGUUCGCCGAUUAAAGUGGCACGCGAGCUGGGUUCAGAACGUCGUGAGACAGUUCGGUCCCUAUCUGUGGUGGGCGUAGGAAGAUUGACGGGGGCUGCCUUUAGUACGAGAGGACCGAGGUGGACCCACCGCUGGUGAACCGGUUGUCACGCCAGUGGCAUGGCCGGGUAGCUAUGUGGGGAAUAGAUAAGCGCUGAAAGCAUCUAAGUGCGAAACUAGCCCGAAGAUGAAUCUUCCACACAAGGGUCGUUGUAGACUACGACGUUGAUAGGCUGCAGGUAUACGUGUAGAAAUACAUUCAGCCGAGCAGUACUAAUUACCC
Molecule: ribosomal RNA, 1608 nt
Filed under: metagenome
Description: bacterial LSU rRNA
Rfam family: Bacterial large subunit ribosomal RNA
Source: RNAcentral